GUGUCAGCAGCCGCGGUAAAACGUAGGGGACAAGCGUUAUCCGGAUUUACUGGGCGUAAAGCGCCCGUAGGCGGCGUCAUAAGUUGGACGUGAAAGCUCCCGGCUUAACUGGGAGAGGCCGUUCAAAACUAUGAGGCUAGAGUGAGGCAGAGGAGCGCGGAAUUCCCGGUGUAGUGGUGGAAUGCGUAGAGAUCGGGAGGAACACCAGUGGCGAAAGCGGCGCUCUGGGCCUAAACUGACGCUGAGGGGCGAAAGCGUGGGGAGCGAACGGGAUUAGAUACCCCGGUAGUCCACGCCGUAAACGAUGGAGACUAGGUGUAGGGGGAUAGAACCCCCUCUGUGCCGAAGCCAACGCGUUAAGUCUCCCGCCUGGGGAGUACGGCCGCAAGGUUAAA
RNAcentral lists this ribosomal RNA (395 nucleotides) under uncultured bacterium. Its description in RNAcentral is "bacterial SSU rRNA". It matches the Rfam family "Bacterial small subunit ribosomal RNA", at positions 505 to 898 of the family's 1533-position model. The record is from RNAcentral.